CUUAUCUUAGCGGCGGACGGGUGAGUAAUGCUUAGGAAUCUGCCUAUUAGUGGGGGACAACAUUCCGAAAGGAAUGCUAAUACCGCAUACGUCCUACGGGAGAAAGCAGGGGAUCUUCGGACCUUGCGCUAAUAGAUGAGCCUAAGUCGGAUUAGCUAGUUGGUGGGGUAAAGGCCUACCAAGGCGACGAUCUGUAGCGGGUCUGAGAGGAUGAUCCGCCACACUGGGACUGAGACACGGCCCAGACUCCUACGGGAGGCAGCAGUGGGGAAUAUUGGACAAUGGGGGGAACCCUGAUCCAGCCAUGCCGCGUGUGUGAAGAAGGCCUUAUGGUUGUAAAGCACUUUAAGCGAGGAGGAGGCUACUGAGACUAAUACUCUUGGAUAGUGGACGUUACUCGCAGAAUAAGCACCGGCUAACUCUGUGCCAGCAGCCGCGGUAAUACAGAGGGUGCGAGCGUUAAUCGGAUUUACUGGGCGUAAAGCGUGCGUAGGCGGCUUUUUAAGUCGGAUGUGAAAUCCCCGAGCUUAACUUGGGAAUUGCAUUCGAUACUGGGAAGCUAGAGUAUGGGAGAGGAUGGUAGAAUUCCAGGUGUAGCGGUGAAAUGCGUAGAGAUCUGGAGGAAUACCGAUGGCGAAGGCAGCCAUCUGGCCUAAUACUGACGCUGAGGUACGAAAGCAUGGGGAGCAAACAGGAUUAGAUACCCUGGUAGUCCAUGCCGUAAACGAUGUCUACUAGCCGUUGGGGCCUUUGAGGCUUUAGUGGCGCAGCUAACGCGAUAAGUAGACCGCCUGGGGAGUACGGUCGCAAGACUAAAACUCAAAUGAAUUGAC
RNAcentral lists this ribosomal RNA (833 nucleotides) under Acinetobacter sp. Its description in RNAcentral is "bacterial SSU rRNA". It matches the Rfam family "Bacterial small subunit ribosomal RNA", at positions 86 to 914 of the family's 1533-position model. The record is from RNAcentral. Lineage: Bacteria; Pseudomonadati; Pseudomonadota; Gammaproteobacteria; Moraxellales; Moraxellaceae.